Molecule: unclassified non-coding RNA, 157 nt
Filed under: uncultured Hymenoscyphus
Lineage: Eukaryota; Fungi; Ascomycota; Leotiomycetes; Helotiales; Helotiaceae
Description: sequence contains ITS1
Source: RNAcentral
CAGUGUUCCUGCCCUCACGGGUAGAAACCCCACCCUUGUGUAUUAUAUCUUUGUUGCUUUGGCAGGCCGCCUUCGGGCACCGGCUCACGCUGGAUCGUGCCUGCCAGAGGACCUAAACUCUGUUUGUCUAUACUGUCUGAGUACUAUAUAAUAGUUA